Molecule: ribosomal RNA, 253 nt
Filed under: uncultured bacterium
Lineage: Bacteria
Description: partial 16S ribosomal RNA
Rfam family: Bacterial small subunit ribosomal RNA
Source: RNAcentral
UACGUAGGGUGCAAGCGUUAAUCGGAAUUACUGGGCGUAAAGCGUGCGCAGGCGGCUUUGCAAGACAGAUGUGAAAUCCCCGGGCUUAACCUGGGAACUGCAUUUGUGACUGCAUGGCUGGAGUGCGGCAGAGGGGGAUGGAAUUCCUGGUGUAGCGGUGAAAUGCGUAGAUAUCAGGAGGAACACCUGUGGUGUAGACAGCUUACUGGACCACAACUGACGCUGAGGCACGAAAGCGUGGGUAGCAAACAGG